Molecule: signal recognition particle RNA, 301 nt
Filed under: Saimiri boliviensis boliviensis (Bolivian squirrel monkey)
Lineage: Eukaryota; Metazoa; Chordata; Mammalia; Primates; Cebidae
Description: Metazoan signal recognition particle RNA (ENSSBOG00000015398.1)
Rfam family: Metazoan signal recognition particle RNA
About the family: The signal recognition particle (SRP) is a universally conserved ribonucleoprotein. It is involved in the co-translational targeting of proteins to membranes.
Source: RNAcentral
GCUGGGCGCGAUGGUGAGUGCCUGUAGUCCCAGCUACUCAGGAGGCUGAGGCUGGAGGAUCGCUUGAGCCCAGGAGUUCUGCGCUGUAGUGUGCUAUGCUGACCGGGUGUCCACACUAAGUUCAGCAUCAAUAUGGUGUGACCUCCUGAGAGCAGGAGACCACCAGGUUGCCUAAGGAGGGGUGAACUGACCCAGGUCGGAAACAGAGCAGGUCAAAACUCCUGUGCUAAUCAGUAGUGGGAUCGUGGCUGUGAAUAGCCACGGCACUCCAGCCUGGGCAACAUAGUGAGACCCUGUCUCA